UGGUAAAACCCCUAGCCUUCCAAGCUAAC
This 29-nucleotide transfer RNA is filed under the name Scilla siberica (Siberian squill). RNAcentral describes it as "partial tRNA-Gly". RNAcentral also lists the same sequence under 18 other names. Lineage: Eukaryota; Viridiplantae; Streptophyta; Magnoliopsida; Asparagales; Asparagaceae. The record is from RNAcentral.